UGUAGUGAUGAUGGCACUGAGGCCACACCUGUUCCCAUACCGAACACAGAAGUUAAGCUCAGUAGCGCCGAAAGUAGUUGGAGGAUCGCUUCCUGCGAGGAUAGGACGUCGCUAUGC
Non-coding RNA from Weissella confusa LBAE C39-2, 117 nucleotides. Lineage: Bacteria; Bacillati; Bacillota; Bacilli; Lactobacillales; Lactobacillaceae. The record is from Rfam.